Molecule: ribosomal RNA, 497 nt
Filed under: uncultured bacterium
Lineage: Bacteria
Description: partial 16S ribosomal RNA
Rfam family: Bacterial small subunit ribosomal RNA
Source: RNAcentral
GAUGAACGCUGGCGGCGUGCCUAAUACAUGCAAGUCGAGCGAACGGACGAGAAGCUUGCUUUUCUGAUGUUAGCGGCGGACGGGUGAGUAACACGUGGAUAACCUACCUAUAAGACUGGGAUAACUUCGGGAAACCGGAGCUAAUACCGGAUAAUAUUUUGAACCGCAUGGUUCAAAAGUGAGAGACGGUCUUGCUGUCACUUAUAGCUGGAUCCGCGCUGCAUUAGCUAGUUGGUAAGGUAACGGCUUACCAAGGCAACGAUGCAUAGCCGACCUGAGAGGGUGAUCGGCCACACGGGAACUGAGACACGGUCCAGACUCCUACGGGAGGCAGCAGUAGGGAAUCUUCCGCAAUGGGCGAAAGCCUGACGGAGCAACGCCGCGUGAGUGAUGAAGGUCUUCGGAUCGUAAAACUCUGUUAUUAGGGAAGAACAUAUGUGUAAGUAACUGUGCACAUCUUGACGGUACCUAAUCAGAAAGCCACGGCUAACUACGUG